Molecule: ribosomal RNA, 471 nt
Filed under: Triticum aestivum (bread wheat)
Lineage: Eukaryota; Viridiplantae; Streptophyta; Magnoliopsida; Poales; Poaceae
Description: partial small subunit ribosomal RNA
Source: RNAcentral
AUGGGAGAUUUUAAUGAUAUACUUUAUGAUGCUGAUAGAAGUUCUCCCUUUGUGAAUUACUCUCGUUUGCAUGCCUUUUGUUGUAUUGUGAAAAAGUGUGGUCUGAUUGACUUAGGAUAUAGUGGCCCUGCUUAUACUUGGACAAACAAGAGGUAUGCUUCUAAUCCGACCAUGGAAAUACUUGAUAGAUGUCUGGUUAACACUGAAUGGUGUACGAUAUUUCCCAACUCUGUUUACAAUUUGCCUAUCAUUCUUAGUGAUCAUGCUCCUAUUCUACUCUCUACUGAUGCCCAUAUGCGCAAACCUAGAAGAAAUUUUAAAUUUGAAAAUUGGUGGCUUAUGGAGAAUGAUUUUCAUGAAUAUGCAAAAAAUGUCUGGAUUGCUUCUAGAAAUAAAGCUUUCCACAAUAGGAAAACUAACCUUGCAGGAUCUUUGAGAACAUGGUGCGGAAAGAAAAAACCAAUUCAAUAG